This 412-nucleotide long non-coding RNA is filed under the name Anser brachyrhynchus (Pink-footed goose). RNAcentral's name for it is "lncRNA (ENSABRG00000004458.1)". Lineage: Eukaryota; Metazoa; Chordata; Aves; Anseriformes; Anatidae. The record is from RNAcentral.
AUGCAGAAGCACAGACUGGCACCAGGAGCGGGCAGACUGGCUGCUGCGCCUGCGUCCCGCGGCUAUUUCUGGCGUGCAGAGACUGAGCGGUGUCUGCUGGGCCAAACGGCAGCCGAUGAGGAUAACGAGAGUAAUCUGGACAUAGCAGCUGUCUUCCGAGGACCUCAAAACUCUCUGUGGAUAUGCUUCUCUCUGCAAAAUUCCUCUCACUCCAUUUCUAUGAGAACUAUUCCUGCAAACCGGGUCCCUAAGAGGAUUAGCGAAGGGGAUACCAAUUUAUUUAUACCCACCUCAGCAUGGUAGCAGCCAAACACUCACAGAGUACCCUGAGAGCGUAACAGUAACAGCUCGGUACAUUGGUGCUUGACCUCAGCUGAGAUCCCAGCAUGCCUCAUGCUUCCAAGUUUAAAAC